CAUAUGUUGAGCAACACCAGCUGCAAGGUCAUCCAUAUUCAUAUCAGGAUGCUGCUUCCCGAGGACGGCCAUGAUGCAACGAUAGGAAUGCCGAAGUCCCUGGUCGUACUGGUUGUCAGUCUCCUUCUCCAAGUUCUCGACUUGAACCCAGUGGGAAUCGCGGAGAGAUUCGAGCUGAGCCUCGUACAUAGCUUUCUGCCUUUGCAGAUCCUCCUUGACCUUAGUCAGCUCUUCCUCGAGAGUAAUGGCCUUUGUUUGAGCAAGAGAUUCUUGCUCUAUCAACUUCAGAUUCUCGAGGUUCAGCUCCCCU
Molecule: long non-coding RNA, 310 nt
Filed under: Citrus maxima (pomelo)
Lineage: Eukaryota; Viridiplantae; Streptophyta; Magnoliopsida; Sapindales; Rutaceae
Description: long non-coding RNA (CMAX_LNC001812)
Source: RNAcentral